Molecule: non-coding RNA, 462 nt
Organism: Arachis ipaensis
Lineage: Eukaryota; Viridiplantae; Streptophyta; Magnoliopsida; Fabales; Fabaceae
Source: RefSeq, a predicted model, not a curated record
UCUUUAUCGAUUCAAUAUCUUCAUGGUGUUCUAGGGUGUAAUUCACUGUAGUUACUGUUCAGUAAUCUUUUAUAUUCAGACAACUUUCUGGUAAGCCUUUAGUUUGUAUCAGGUGAAUGAAAUGCUAAGAUAUUCUUACUUCGUCCUUGUUUUUUUGUACAAUAAGAAACUAUUCUUUUGGUUUGGUUAUUCUUUAUUUACUUAUUUAUUGUACUUGGUUAUGUAAUAUCAGAUUCUUGCCCUGACCCUAGCUUUUAAUGUCACGGGGGAUCAUUGUCCUUAUUUCAUCAAGUGCUUUCUUCCUUGUGUACUAUCAGGAAUUUGUGGUCCUUUGAGAAAACUCAUGGAGCAGAAUGCUCAAGCAUUUAAUCAAAUCACAAACAAUUUGUCUAGUUACAAGUUGCAGGAUAACAUUGAUCUCUUUUGCCACACAAGGCACAACAUUUGUUCAAUUCUUAAUGA